Molecule: ribosomal RNA, 253 nt
Filed under: uncultured bacterium
Lineage: Bacteria
Description: partial 16S ribosomal RNA
Rfam family: Bacterial small subunit ribosomal RNA
Source: RNAcentral
AACGUAGGAGACAAACGUUAUCCGGAGUUACUGGGCGUAAAGGGCGUGUAGGUGGUUUCGUAAGUCUGGCGUGAAAUAUCUCGGCUUAACCGAGGCAGGUCGUCGGAUACUGCGGAACUGGAGGACGGUAGAGGCGUGUGGAGUUCCGGGUGUAGUGGUGAAAUGCGUAGAGAUCCGGAGGAACACCAGUGGCGAAGGCGACACGCUGGGCCGUACCUGACACUGAUGCGCGACAGCAUGGGGAGCAAACAGG